AGCAGUAGCCGCGGUAAUACGUAGGGUGCAAGCGUUAAUCGGAAUUACUGGGCGUAAAGCGUGCGCAGGCGGUUAUAUAAGACAGAUGUGAAAUCCCCGGGCUCAACCUGGGAACUGCAUUUGUGACUGUAUAGCUAGAGUACGGCAGAGGGGGAUGGAAUUCCGCGUGUAGCAGUGAAAUGCGUUGAUAUGCGGAGGAACACCGAUGGCGAAGGCAAUCCCCUGGGCCUGUACUGACGCUUAUGCACGAAAGCGUGGGGAGCAAACAGGAUUAGAUACCCCAGUAGUCCCUGUCUCUUAUAA
Molecule: ribosomal RNA, 303 nt
Filed under: uncultured bacterium
Lineage: Bacteria
Description: partial 16S ribosomal RNA
Rfam family: Bacterial small subunit ribosomal RNA
Source: RNAcentral